CAUGCAAGUCGAACGAGAAUCUGCUGAAGGAGGAUUCGUCCAACGGAAGUAGAGGAAAGUGGCGGACGGGUGAGUAACGCGUGAGGAACCUGCCUUGAAGAGGGGGACAACAGUUGGAAACGACUGCUAAUACCGCAUGACGCAUAGAGGUCGCAUGAUCUUUAUGCCAAAGAUUUAUCGCUUCAAGAUGGCCUCGCGUCUGAUUAGCUAGUUGGCGGGGUAACGGCCCACCAAGGCGACGACCAGUAGCCGGACUGAGAGGUUGAACGGCCACAUUGGGACUGAGAUACGGCCCAGACUCCUACGGGAGGCAGCAGUGGGGAAUAUUGGGCAAUGGGCGCAAGCCUGACCCAGCAACGCCGCGUGAAGGAAGAAGGCUUUCGGGUUGUAAACUUCUUUUAAGAGGGAAGAGCAGAAGACGGUACCUCUAGAAUAAGCCACGGCUAACUACGUGCCAGCAGCCGCGGUAAUACGUAGGUGGCAAGCGUUGUCCGGAUUUACUGGGUGUAAAGGGCGUGCAGCCGGGUCUGCAAGUCAGAUGUGAAAUCCAUGGGCUCAACCCAUGAACUGCAUUUGAAACUGUAGAUCUUGAGUGUCGGAGGGGCAAUCGGAAUUCCUAGUGUAGCGGUGAAAUGCGUAGAUAUUAGGAGGAACACCAGUGGCGAAGGCGGAUUGCUGGACGAUAACUGACGGUGAGGCGCG
This 702-nucleotide ribosomal RNA is filed under the name uncultured bacterium. RNAcentral's name for it is "bacterial SSU rRNA". It matches the Rfam family "Bacterial small subunit ribosomal RNA", at positions 54 to 755 of the family's 1533-position model. The record is from RNAcentral.